This 480-nucleotide ribosomal RNA is filed under the name uncultured bacterium. RNAcentral describes it as "bacterial SSU rRNA". It matches the Rfam family "Bacterial small subunit ribosomal RNA", at positions 25 to 518 of the family's 1533-position model. The record is from RNAcentral.
CAGGACGAACGCUGGCGGCAUGCCUAACACAUGCAAGUCGAACGGAGUUAUUUGGAUUCGUCUGGAUAACUUAGUGGCGGACGGGUGAGUAACACGUGAGCAACCUGCCCUUCAGAGGGGGACAACAGUUGGAAACGACUGCUAAUACCGCAUAACAUAUACUUAAGGCAUCUUGAGUAUAUCAAAGAUUUAUCGCUGAGGGAUGGGCUCGCGUCUGAUUAGAUAGUUGGUGAGGUAACGGCCCACCAAGUCUACGAUCAGUAGCCGGACUGAGAGGUUGAACGGCCACAUUGGGACUGAGAUACGGCCCAGACUCCUACGGGAGGCAGCAGUGGGGAAUAUUGGUCAAUGGGGGCAAACCUCUGAACCAGCAAUGCCGCGUGAAGGAAGAAGGCCUUCGGGUUGUAAACUUCUUUGACCAGGGACGAUAAUGACGGUACCUGGAAAACAAGCCACGGCUAACUACGUGCCAGCCGCCGC